CGGACGACGCUGGCGGCGUGCCUAAUACAUGCAAGUAGAACGCUGAAGAGAGGAGCUUGCUCUUCUUGGAUGAGUUGCGAACGGGUGAGUAACGCGUAGGUAACCUGCCUUGUAGCGGGGGAUAACUAUUGGAAACGAUAGCUAAUACCGCAUAACAAUGGAUGACACAUGUCAUUUAUUUGAAAGGGGCAAUUGCUCCACUACAAGAUGGACCUGCGUUGUAUUAGCUAGUAGGUGAGGUAAUGGCUCACCUAGGCGACGAUACAUAGCCGACCUGAGAGGGUGAUCGGCCACACUGGGACUGAGACACGGCCCAGACUCCUACGGGAGGCAGCAGUAGGGAAUCUUCGGCAAUGGGGGCAACCCUGACCGAGCAACGCCGCGUGAGUGAAGAAGGUUUUCGGAUCGUAAAGCUCUGUUGUAAGUCAAGAACGGGUGUGAGAGUGGAAAGUUCACACUGUGACGGUAGCUUACCAGAAAGGGACGGCUAACUACGUGCCAGCAGCCGCGGUAAUACGUAGGUCCCGAGCGUUGUCCGGAUUUAUUGGGCGUAAAGCGAGCGCAGGCGGUUUGAUAAGUCUGAAGUUAAAGGCUGUGGCUCAACCAUAGUUCGCUUUGGAAACUGUCAAACUUGAGUGCAGAAGGGGAGAGUGGAAUUCCAUGUGUAGCGGUGAAAUGCGUAGAUAUAUGGAGGAACACCGGUGGCGAAAGCGGCUCUCUGGUCUGUAACUGACGCUGAGGCUCGAAAGCGUGGGGAGCGAACAGGAUUAGAUACCCUGGUAGUCCACGCCGUAAACGAUGAGUGCUAGGUGUUGGAUCCUUUCCGGGAUUCAGUGCCGCAGCUAACGCAUUAAGCACUCCGCCUGGGGAGUACGACCGCAAGGUUGAAACUCAAAGGAAUUGACGGGGGCCCGCACAAGCGGUGGAGCAUGUGGUUUAAUUCGAAGCAACGCGAAGAACCUUACCAGGUCUUGACAUCCCGAUGCUAUUUCUAGAGAUAGAAAGUUACUUCGGUACAUCGGUGACAGGUGGUGCAUGGUUGUCGUCAGCUCGUGUCGUGAGAUGUUGGGUUAAGUCCCGCAACGAGCGCAACCCCUAUUGUUAGUUGCCAUCAUUCAGUUGGGCACUCUAGCGAGACUGCCGGUAAUAAACCGGAGGAAGGUGGGGAUGACGUCAAAUCAUCAUGCCCCUUAUGACCUGGGCUACACACGUGCUACAAUGGUUGGUACAACGAGUUGCGAGUCGGUGACGGCGAGCUAAUCUCUUAAAGCCAAUCUCAGUUCGGAUUGUAGGCUGCAACUCGCCUACAUGAAGUCGGAAUCGCUAGUAAUCGCGGAUCAGCACGCCGCGGUGAAUACGUUCCCGGGCCUUGUACACACCGCCCGUCACACCACGAGAGUUUGUAACACCCGAAGUCGGUGAGGUAACCUUUUGGAGCCAGCCGCCUAAGGUGGGACAGAUGAUUGGGGUGAAGUCGA
Molecule: ribosomal RNA, 1478 nt
Filed under: Streptococcus thermophilus
Lineage: Bacteria; Bacillati; Bacillota; Bacilli; Lactobacillales; Streptococcaceae
Description: bacterial SSU rRNA
Rfam family: Bacterial small subunit ribosomal RNA
Source: RNAcentral